UCUAACUCGUCCGUUCUUCAUCAAGCCGCAGCCAUGGUUGGAAGUGUUAUGGAGGUGUGAUCAUUCUGUAAACAGUGUUGACUUCAAUCAAAGGAAACAUGGCCUCUAUAGCAAGUAGAAGGAAAUGUGUGACGUUCCCGGAUUCAUUCUGCUAUAUUUGUGGGGCAUUCACAGCUCCAAAGCAAAGAAGGAACAUUAGUGAAUUUGUGAAGAGAGCUUACUUUUCCUACUUUAAAGUGAAACUUGGAGAUCAAGACAAACCAUGGGCACCGCAUAAGGAUGGAGUGUGGUUCGACUUCUGGCCAGGAUGAUGAAUGUGAUUAUGUAUUUAGAGACUAGUAUUGCGGGACUUGAAGAUUUGCUCGGACUUGAGACACGACCAUGCAUAGAUCAUGAUCUCAGUAUAGUGGGACUUGAAGAUUUGCUCAGACUUCAGACACGAUGCUUAGCUGAAUGUGCUAAAUACUGAGGGUGAAGAUUCGUCGCUAAACUUCCGACUUCCAACAUAGGAAUACUGUACAUAAUCAUGCUGACUGGUGUCCAUUGAUAACCCUUGGAUUAUUUAUUCCACCUUUCAAGUUUGGUAAGUGGUGAUCACUUCCAUUCUUUCAUAAAUAGUGAUGCUACAACUGCAACAUUGCCAUUUGAAGUUACCACUGAGGGUGUAGGAACACAUUUCUGCGACUACCUCCUGUACUACAAAUAUGUUAAACCUUCAUAUGAAAAAAAAAAUCUUGCAAGCUGGCAAUUUGAAAGGGGAAAAAAUCUUGCCCUUAGU
This 778-nucleotide unclassified non-coding RNA is filed under the name Homarus americanus (American lobster). Its description in RNAcentral is "uncharacterized LOC121872667, transcript variant X5". Lineage: Eukaryota; Metazoa; Arthropoda; Malacostraca; Decapoda; Nephropidae. The record is from RNAcentral.